GGUGGUUCUUGGGUGAUACACCCCGGAAUCGGUCUCCCUCCUCUCUGGUUCUGGAGCGUGUCACUCGAGAAUUGCU
Myotis davidii is the source of this 76-nucleotide non-coding RNA. The record is from Rfam. Lineage: Eukaryota; Metazoa; Chordata; Mammalia; Chiroptera; Vespertilionidae.